Molecule: long non-coding RNA, 3165 nt
Filed under: Camponotus floridanus (Florida carpenter ant)
Lineage: Eukaryota; Metazoa; Arthropoda; Insecta; Hymenoptera; Formicidae
Description: uncharacterized LOC112637919
Source: RNAcentral
UGAGGCGUCGGAGAAGCCAUGGACCUCGAUGCGGGUGCAAGAAGGACCCAGAUUAAUCCAGCGAGGUACUCGGAUUUGCUCGAGUACUGGUAUCUGGGCGUGAAAGGUGACCCAGGCUGACGCGGAGGCGUCGUCGAGCGGAGCGUCCCACUCAAGUCCUUGAAGCCAAGUCGAUUGGAAGGCAAUCUUGGCGCGGACCACGACCGGUGCUAGCCAGCCGAGAGGGUCGAAUAGCUGCGCCACCAGAGACAGUACAGACCUCUUGGUGACGGAUGGCAGUGCGAUGUGCCGGGUGGCGAAAGAGAAAUCGUCCGUGGCGGGGUGCCACUGCAGUCCUAAGGUGGAGUGAGCCUCGUGUGGUCGCCAGUCACGGGUCUCGCGCUGCAACUGGUGCUCCGGCGGGAUAUCCCAGAUCACCGCUGAGUCGCUGGCUGACCACUUCCGGAGAGGGAAGCCGCCCGCCAUGCAGAUACUGGACAGCUGUUUGCACAUCUCCUGGGUCUCCGCCAUCGUCGCUGCUCCGGUUAAGAUGUCGUCCAUGUAGACAUCUCGCAGGAGAACGGCCGCUCCUAGAGGGUACUGCUUACCCUCGUCCUCAGCUAAUUGCCUGAGAGCGCGCAUCGCUAGAAACGGAGCACACGCUAGGCCGUAGGUCACUGUGCUCAGCUGGUACUCGGCAGGGCUGUCUUGCGGGGAAUCCCGCCACAGGAUCCUUUGCAGAUCCCUGUCAUCCGGGUGUACCAAGAUCUGUCGGAACAUCUUUUCGACGUCGGUGGCUAGACCGAAGCGGUGCCGUCGCCAACGGAGUAGCACGUCGGCGAGCGGAGGCAACAAGUUCGGACCCACCAUCAAGUGAUCGUUGAGGGUUCUUUUCGAAGUAGUUGGCGUGGAGCCGUUAAAAACUACGCGCAGCUUCGUGGUGACACUGUUCUUCCGCAGCACGCCGUGAUGCGGCAAGUAAUGCACCGGUCUGCGCGACGUAGCGUCCGGAGUCGCGCGAGACAUAUGACGCAGGUCCUCAUACUGCCGCAUGAAGUCGGCAUAGAGGGCUCGAAAAGGAGGAUCCCGAGCGAAACGUCUCUCCAUGCUGAAGAGAACUCGUAAAGCCGUGGAGCGCGUCACCGAGAAGUCUGGCAGCGGGGCAACGACCGGCAGACGUACGACGUACCGACCGUCCGCGGACCGCGAAUGUGUCUGGCGGAAGAAGUUCUCGCACUGUUGAUCCGCGGGUGAGAGAGCUACCGCGGCGUCGGGUAGCUCUUCUUGCUGCCAGAACCUUUGUACGAGAGCGCCUAGGUCCUCCUCGACCAGGCAGUGAUGUGCUGACGCAUGGCGCGAUGUGGACGUCGUACCGACGGCCCCAGACAAUAUCCAGCCCAGCGCCGUCUUUUGUGCCACAGGUUCCCGUGAUUUCCCUCGUCGAAGUCCAGCCUGGAGGAUCAUGGCGUAGACGUCUGCUCCUAGAAGGAUGUCUAUGGGAUCCGUCGCCAAGAAGUCCGGAUCGGCGAGCUCCAGCCCAUGGACGUGCGUCCACGCCCGACGAUUGGCCUUGAUUCCGCCUUCAUAAAGUGUGAGCCGGGGGAAAACCAAGGCGGCCACGCUUAUUAAAGGCCCGUCGCGCAGGGAGCGGAUCUGAAGAGUGACUUGACCGCGGGCGAGGCCCGUCUGCUUGCCGCCGAUUCCAUACACGGCGACGGAGGUAGGAGACCGACCUAGGCGAAGACGUUGGGCCAAAGCUUCGGAAACUAGCGAGGACUCCGAGCCCUGGUCAACUAGUGCGCGUGCAGUGUGAGCGCGGCCGAACCGGUCCAGGACGCGAACGCGCGCGGUAGCGAGGAGAACUGUCGUCGUCGCCUCGACUUUGUGUUGCGCUAAGUGUGACGUCUUAGCGCUCUCGCCGGACGGACAUGCCUCGUGGAGGGUCGUGUGGUGACGCGCGCGACACGACGAACAAGUCUUUUGAGAAGAACACUCGCUUACCUUGUGCCUUCCUAGGCAGUUCAGGCACAAGUCGUUCGCCUCGACGUGACGCUUCCUUUCCUCCGCCGUCUUGCUCUGGUAAAGGUCACAGAACAUAAUAUAGUGAUCCUGACCGCAUAGGGAGCAGCGACCUCGCUUACUGUCCUGCUUACGCGUGUGAAGAGUGCGAGUCUUCUGUGUCGGACUUGGAUGCGGUUUAGAAGAAAUGGCUUCGACCUUGACAGGCUGCAACGAUUCUAAAGUGUGCAGCCGACGAUCCAAGAAGAGCUGGAGUUUGUCGUACGAGGGUGGAUCGUUGGAAUCACUAAUGAAAUUCUCCCACUCGCGGCGAGAUCGAGGAUCAAGCAGGUCAACGACGAGGUGCACGAAAAGAUCUUCACCCUUCGUGAUCGGGCGCCCAAUGCUCUCCAGUGAUCCUACCGUGCUCUUCACGCUGUGGCAAAGUUUGCGCAGUUCCACCACGGACUCGCUCUUCAGCUUCUGGAGUGACGUAAACUGGGAGAUGUAACUGCGCACCAGGAGCCGCUUGUUCUCAUAGCAUGUCUUCAGGUAGUGGAGCUUCUCGACUGAGGACGUGAGAGUGUCCCUUCCGAUUAGCGAUUGGAAGAGAUCACGGAAGGCUGGCCAAUCCUCGUACUUCCCGGAGAAAUGAGGCAGCUGGAUCCUCGGAAGAGUCGUGCGGGGUGCUUGCGAGGACGGCUCUGACCCUCUCGUGCCAGCUUCCUUCUCUUCCGUCUUGAGGUUACGCAGGAGGUCCAACAGCAGGCCCUUAUUGGCGAGGUAGGCCUCUUCAGCCAGAGCAGGUAUGUCGAGUCUUAUGUACUCUGAAUCGGCCACUUGGUCGAGAUAAUUCAAGAGCUCAUCGUUGUGCGCGUCGAACUUCGUCCAGUACCUUUCCAAGGACUGCAAUCGCGCCUCCACUGCGCCCACCGUGAUCUUGGCAGCGCCCAGCUUCAUCAGGUUCUCGUGACUGGUGUUCGGAGCACAGAGAACCACAACACUUCGCACUCACUCCGCGUCGUAGAAAAACCGGUCACUAAAUAUCCGGCUCGAAGGACCAGCAAAUGAUAGAGUUUAUGCGAGAUUGACGCGGGAGGCAAGCGCGAAACCGAAGGAUAAAAAUCCGCGAGGAGAGAGAACGAAGAGAAAUUAAUUCGACGAUAAUCUAGGUCUUUUAACAAUAAU